ACGAACGCUGGCGGCGUGCUUAACACAUGCAAGUCGAACGAGGUUCAAUCAUUCGCAAGAAUGAGGACGACCUAGUGGCGAACGGGUGCGUAACACAUGAGGAACCUACCCCAGACUCUGGAAUAACAAGUGGAAACACUUGCUAAUACCGGAUGUCGUUGGAUCAUCGCCUGGCGAUCCAACGAAAGAUUUAUCGGUCUGGGAGGGCCUCGUGGCCUAUCAGCUUGUUGGCGAGGUAACGGCUCACCAAGGCUUCGACGGGUAGCUGGUCUGAGAGGAUGAUCAGCCACACUGGGACUGAGACACGGCCCAGACUCCUACGGGAGGCAGCAGUGGGGAAUCUUGCACAAUGGGCGCAAGCCUGAUGCAGCAACGCCGCGUGCGGGAAGAAGGCCCUAGGGUUGUAAACCGCUUUCAGCAGGGAAGAAAAUGACGGUACCUGUAGAAGAAGGUGCGGCCAACUACGU
Molecule: ribosomal RNA, 467 nt
Filed under: uncultured bacterium
Lineage: Bacteria
Description: bacterial SSU rRNA
Rfam family: Bacterial small subunit ribosomal RNA
Source: RNAcentral